This is a non-coding RNA of Pelobates cultripes (western spadefoot toad), 275 nucleotides long. NCBI's taxonomy places the organism in Eukaryota, Metazoa, Chordata, Amphibia, Anura, Pelobatidae. The record is from the annotation of a GenBank genome assembly.
CAGGUCUGUUUUAAUAGAAGUGACAAGAUUGAUUGUUUAAAGGCCGGUCAAGGCCUCUGUGUUUCAGGUUGCUUUUUUAUGGAUCGAUUAAUCAAAAAGAUUUAAAUCUGCCAUACUGUAGAUCAUAGCUUAUGAAAACUGUAUAUAGAUUGUUUGGGCUGAACCAAUCUUUCUUUUUGUGUACACUGCACAAUGUUUGCUAAACUUUGCAACUUCCCAUGGCACCGUGCAGCAUAAUGUUCUAGUAGUGCUCUUCAAGUCCCAGAGCUUAAGAG